CGGUAACAUUUCUAGCUUGCUAGAAGAUGACGAGUGGCGGACGGGUGAGUAAUACUUAGGAAUAUGCCUUUGUGUGGGGGAUAACCAUUGGAAACGAUGGCUAAUACCGCAUAACGUCUUCGGACCAAAGGGGGCCUUGGCUCCCGCGCAAAGAGUAGCCUAAGCGAGAUUAGCUUGUUGGUGAGGUAAAGGCUCACCAAGGCGACGAUCUCUAGCUGUUCUGAGAGGAAGAUCAGCCACACUGGAACUGAGACACGGUCCAGACUCCUACGGGAGGCAGCAGUGGGGAAUAUUGCACAAUGGGGGAAACCCUGAUGCAGCCAUGCCGCGUGUGUGAAGAAGGCCUUCGGGUUGUAAAGCACUUUCAGUUGUGAGGAAAGGUUAACGGUUAAUACCCGUUAGCUGUGACGUUAGCAACAGAAGAAGGACCGGCUAACUCCGUGCCAGCAGCCGCGGUAAUACGGAGGGUCCGAGCGUUAAUCGGAAUUACUGGGCGUAAAGCGUUCGUAGGCGGUUGAUUAAGCAAGAUGUGAAAGCCCAGGGCUCAACCUUGGAACUGCAUUUUGAACUGGUCAACUAGAGUACUGUAGAGGGUGGUGGAAUUUCCAGUGUA
RNAcentral lists this ribosomal RNA (613 nucleotides) under uncultured bacterium. Its description in RNAcentral is "bacterial SSU rRNA". It matches the Rfam family "Bacterial small subunit ribosomal RNA", at positions 67 to 677 of the family's 1533-position model. The record is from RNAcentral.